UACGAAGGGUGCAAGCGUUACUCGGAAUUACUGGGCGUAAAGCGUGCGUAGGCGGUUCGUUAAGUCCGUUGUGAAAGCCCUGGGCUCAACCUGGGAAUGGCAGUGGAUACUGGCGAGCUAGAGUGUGAUAGAGGAUGGUGGAAUUCCCGGUGUAGCGGUGAAAUGCGUAGAGAUCGGGAGGAACACCAAGUGGCGAAGGCGGCCAUCUGGAUCAACACUGACGCUGAGGCACGAAAGCGUGGGGAGCAAAC
This 251-nucleotide ribosomal RNA is filed under the name uncultured bacterium. Its description in RNAcentral is "partial 16S ribosomal RNA". It matches the Rfam family "Bacterial small subunit ribosomal RNA", at positions 524 to 773 of the family's 1533-position model. The record is from RNAcentral.